Molecule: ribosomal RNA, 253 nt
Filed under: uncultured bacterium
Lineage: Bacteria
Description: partial 16S ribosomal RNA
Rfam family: Bacterial small subunit ribosomal RNA
Source: RNAcentral
GACGUAGGGCGCGAGCGUUGUCCGGAUUUAUUGGGCGUAAAGAGCUCGUAGGCGGCUUGUCGCGUCGUCCGUGAAAACCCGCGGCUCAACUGCGGGCCUGCAGUCGAUACGGGCAGGCUAGAGUUCGGUAGGGGAGACUGGAAUUCCUGGUGUAGCGGUGAAAUGCGCAGAUAUCAGGAGGAACACCGGUGGCGAAGGCGGGUCUCUGGGCCGAUACUGACGCUGAGGAGCGAAAGCGUGGGGAGCGAACAGG